GGCGCAAGCGCGUUGAGCGCGUUCGGCGAGGGCCGGAAGUAGCGGAGGGGGGCGGAGAAGAGCCUCCUGAAGGGAGGAGCCGAGAACCUGCGCAGGGGCGGCGUGGUGCCACGGUUCUGGGGGAGAGCGCCCGACGUGGGUGGGGUCGUACAGAUCGACUCGUCCCCUAACUCGGCAGAUGCAAAGACGGGCAUCUUCAGAGGGGUGGUGUUGAGUCCUUUUUUUUCCCUUGUGAGGAAAUGCUGUCGGGAGACGCUGGCAUUGUGUCAUCAGCAUUUACGUCGUCUUAAGCUUCAGUUGCCCGAGAUCAACUGUGGUUCAGAAGCAGAUGGCCCUCCUGACGUAUCUUCUAACGGUACAUCAGAAUACCUACAUCAUUUACCUCACUCUAUUUCAUCACACAGGCAUUUUGUCAUUUCAUGUCACCACAAAAAGGGGGAACAAAACACUUUGCAGGGCAUCGUGGCUCCAAUUUGGUGGGGAUCAAGCAGCACCUCUCACCAAGAAGAAGGGAAAGAAUGAGGUGGAUCGUGGUAGCAGGAGUGCGUAGCAUAUCUGACGUCAGCUAGCCGCCCAAAGAGCCAGAUGGAGCCCUAGCUGGCAGCAACGGGGAGCAGGGAAGCUGGCUUCUUUCAAUCAGUCAUGCUGUGGAGUGCAGUGAAGACACCUCUCCCAAAGCUGCCGGAGCUGCAAGCCUGCCCCAGCAAGAUGAGAGGGAAGUCGGGAAGGCCAGUUUAUUUUAUUUUUAGUAAUCUCUACACUGCAUGUGAAGCUCGAACUCAGAACCCUAAGAUCAAGAGUCAUGUGCUCUACCGACCGAGCCAGCUGGGCGCCCCUGACUGCCUCUUUUAUUUCCUCUUGGUAAGAGAGAAGAAUGAGCUAUGGUUUUUUCCUAGGCUGAAGGCAUAUAAUACUUAAGAGUUCUCGCUAACUGGAAAGAAAAACUAGAAAAGAAAAGCCAUUUUACAUGUUAUUCUGACCGAAGAGUGAAAAUCCUCAUGCUUAUCAGUUUUUGUUAUUUUGCUUUGUUUUGUUUUAUAGCUGCUGGCUAGGUAUUACUUGAAUCCGUAUUUGUUUGACUUGAUAAUUUAUUUACUUAUCCAACAAAUAUUUGUCAAAAGUCUUCUAUGUGCCAGGCACCAUUUGGUUAUUAUUGGCUUUGCUGCUUUGGUUGUUUUUUGUUUUUAGCGGUAG
Long non-coding RNA from Leopardus geoffroyi (Geoffroy's cat), 1194 nucleotides. RefSeq lists it as uncharacterized. The transcript has 5 exons. The record is from RefSeq and is a predicted model, not a curated record. Lineage: Eukaryota; Metazoa; Chordata; Mammalia; Carnivora; Felidae.